AAGGGAAGGCGGGGAGAGGCCGGGCCGGGGCCGCACGCCCCGGUCGGUGGCCUGGGCGGGCCCGGGGCGUCCUUGUUAGCGCCGGCUCCAGGCCGCCCGCCGCGUCCCUCCUCCCGCGGGCCCGGCCCGGAGCUGAUCGCCCCAGACAGGCUGCGCGGCGCGGCCGAUCCCGGGGGCCGCUGGCGAGGUCCAGAUGCUCCUGUUACUACCGGGGUCAUCGCUGAAGACGCAGAGUCCUGCCCCUGGGGAGGCACCGUGGGUCCCAAAGACUUGCCCUUUGAAGAUCUUUCAAAAUGAGGAUGAGCGCUUCAUAACGUUUUUUAAAAAUAAUGUGUGACAAAAGCUGAACUACAUAAAAGAAGAGCAGAAUUAGUAAACUGCACUGCUCAUUGGAAAAGAAAAAGUCUCACUAAGGAAUAAAGAAGAGACCAUAACCACAGACACUGUGAGGAUCCGAGAGCAGCAUUCAGCCCCAUCUCCUACAUUGGAAGAAUGGAAAAAGCCAAACAUCCAUCACCUUUUUACUUUGACAAAUACAGUACUGUGUCCCAGCGACCCCAGAGGCUGAUAAUCACAGUGUCCUCCAUGCUGAAAGGGGAACUGAGGAAGGCCAAAAGCUCAUCCACCUUCUACUUAACAUCACGCAGAGGUGGUGGGUACUGUUGCCCAAGGCCCCGAGGAGAGACAGCAGAACUGCCUCAGAAGCAGGGGCAGAUUGUCGGGCUCCCAGCUCCCAGGAACCUCAGCUUGCGCUGCUCCUGCAGAAGCCUAGGCUGCGCCUGUCGACUGCCCACAACCUUCGUGUGCCCUCGCUGCAGUUCCCAAGAGGCCUGUGGCCACAGACAAGAGUCUGCCUAUGUAGCCCAGGCUGGCCUCAAACUGAAGCAAUCCUCCUGCCUCAGCCUCCCAAGUGCUGGAUGACAGCUUCAGAAGCUGCAAUUACAGGCCUGCACCAAGCCUGGAUGCGACUCUAAUCCCAGGAAGAAAGAAAGCCUAAAGCUGGAGAGCCAGGGAAAGGCGACAGGACAAUGUUCUCCCAGGACAUAAAAACUUCCAGCAAGUUUAUCACCACAAAUGAAGAAGUGAAAUUUAUUCUCUGUAAUGAAGAGUGAAAUGCAGGAAUAAAGAAAUGAGGGAAAGCGGCAGACUCACAGAUCCUAGUGAAAGGCCUGAAAACACAACUACCAAUCCACAGAGUGGGACAGUCUAAC
This is a long non-coding RNA of Heterocephalus glaber (naked mole-rat), 1211 nucleotides long. NCBI's taxonomy places the organism in Eukaryota, Metazoa, Chordata, Mammalia, Rodentia, Bathyergidae. The record is from Ensembl.